Long non-coding RNA from Eriocheir sinensis (Chinese mitten crab), 1671 nucleotides. RefSeq lists it as uncharacterized. NCBI's taxonomy places the organism in Eukaryota, Metazoa, Arthropoda, Malacostraca, Decapoda, Varunidae. The transcript is spliced from 2 exons. The record is from RefSeq and is a predicted model, not a curated record.
GUGGUAGGCAAUUCACCUAGGAGAGCAAACUCUAAACAAACCCGGGCAGGUGGAGGUCGUUAGCCGUGGUAGGCAGUUCACCUAGGAGAGCAAACUCUAAACAAACCCGGGCAGGUGAGGCUCGUUAGCCGUGGGAGGCAGUUCACCUAGGAGAGCAAACUCCGAACAACAAACCCGGGCAGGUGGAGCUCGUUAGCCGUGGGAGGCAAUUCACCUAGGAGAGCAAACUCUAAACAAACCCGGGCAGGUGGAGCUCGUUAGCCGUGGGAGGCAGUUCACCUAGGAGAGCAAACUCCGAACAACAAACCCGGGCAGGUGGAGCUCGUUAGCCGUGGGAGGCAGUUCACCUAGGAGAGCAAACUCUAAACAAACCCGGGCAGGUGAGGCUCGUUAGCCGUGGGAGGCAAUUCACCUAGGAGAGCAAACUCCGAACAACAAACCCGGGCAGGUGGAGCUCGUUAGCCGUGGGAGGCAAUUCACCUAGGAGAGCAAACUCCGAACAACAAACCCGGGCAGGUUGGGUUCGUGAGCCGUCAUAGGCAAUACACCUAGGAGAGCAAACUCCGAACAACAAACCCGGCCAGGUGGAGGUCGUCAGCCGUGGUAGGCAAUCUUCCUAGGAGAGCAAACUCCGAACAACAAACCCGGGCAGGUGGAGCUCGUCAGCCGUGGUAGGCAAUCUUCCUAGGAGAGCAAACUCCGAACAACAAACCCGGGCAGGUGGAGCUCGUCAGCCGUGGUAGGCUAUCUUCCUAGGAGAGCAAACUCCGAACAACAAACCCGGGCAGGUGGAGGUCGUCAGCCGUGGUAGGCAAUCUGCCUAGGAGAGCAAACUCCGAACAACAAACCCGGCCAGGUGGAGGUCGUCAGCCGUGGUAGGCAAUCUGCCUAGGAGAGCAAACUCUAAAUAAACCCGGGCUUGUGGUGCUCGUUAUACUGUCGUAGACAAUCCACGCGAUGGGAACACCAAAGAAAAGGAAAAUAAAUAAGAACACCAGAAAAAUGGAAAAUACAGAAACGAAACAUCAAGAAAAGAAACAAAAAGAUCAUCCACCUUUAGGCCCUAACAUCGCCAAAAUUAUGGAUGGGUCUCUUCUGGGGAGAAAGCGGUUCAUCCAGACCAAAGAACAUCAACAAAAGGAUGAUAUUAAUAAAUGAACAUAAAAAAAACAAAGAAAACACAUCAAGGAAAGAAAAAUAUAACAAACAUCAUCCACCAUCCGGCCCUGACUAACAUCACCAAAAUUAUGGGUGGGUCUCUUCUGGGGAGAAAGCGGCUCACCCAGACCAAAGAACAUCAACAAGGGAUGAUAUAGAAAAGAACACCAAAAAAAUAUGGAAAAAGAACAGAAAAAACAUCGAAAAAGAAAAGCAACAGAAAUAAAUGAGCAACAUCGAGAAAAGAGAAAUACAAAGAAACAUCAUCCACCUUUCGGCCCCAAACAACAUCACCAAAAUUAUGGAUGGGUCUCUUCUGGGAGGAAAGCGGCUCAUCCAGACCAUGGAACAUCAACAAAAGGAUGAUGGGAAAAAAAUAACAACAAAAAACAUCAAAAAGAAGUAAAAAGAAAAAGAACAGAAAAACAUCGAAAAAGAAAACAAAAGCAAUAAAAAGAACGAAAAACACGACAUCAAGAAAAUAAAAUAAAACAAACAUCAUCCACCUUUCGG